RNAcentral lists this non-coding RNA (221 nucleotides) under Marinobacter lutaoensis. The record is from RNAcentral. Lineage: Bacteria; Pseudomonadati; Pseudomonadota; Gammaproteobacteria; Pseudomonadales; Marinobacteraceae.
UAUAGUGUUCAAAUCCUUGGUUUGCUACCAGAUGUUGUGAUCAAACUCUGAUCAUCGGGGUAGCGGGGAAUCCGGUGAGAAUCCGGAACUGACGCGCAGCGGUAUUGGGGAACGAGCGUGGCAACCACGACACUGGCAACCGCCGGGAAGUCGCCACGCGAGGCCGAAUCGACCGAUUCAUGCCCCUGAGUCCGAAGACCUGCCAAGGGUGGGGAGCCGGC